AGAAUGUGCCCUUUUGACUUCUUAAAAUAGGUCAAGGUUAGCCAUCUUUGAACUUGUCCAAGGUCUAUGUUCUGAGAAUGCUCCUUGUGAAUUUGAAGACUCUGGCAGUAAUAGGACUGGACUUAUGC
Long non-coding RNA from Thalassophryne amazonica, 128 nucleotides. RefSeq lists it as uncharacterized. The transcript is spliced from 3 exons. Lineage: Eukaryota; Metazoa; Chordata; Actinopteri; Batrachoidiformes; Batrachoididae. The record is from RefSeq and is a predicted model, not a curated record.